Molecule: ribosomal RNA, 576 nt
Filed under: Jamesozyma lodderae
Lineage: Eukaryota; Fungi; Ascomycota; Saccharomycetes; Saccharomycetales; Saccharomycetaceae
Description: Kazachstania lodderae partial small subunit ribosomal RNA
Rfam family: Bacterial small subunit ribosomal RNA (bases 240-509)
Source: RNAcentral
CGAAAGAUUGAUCUAGUUACUUAUUAGGAUGAUAUUUAAAUUUAAAUAUAUUUUUAUAUAAUUAUAUAAUAUAAAUAAAUUGAUUAAAAAUAAAAUCCAUAUAUAAAUAAAAUAAUGAUAAAUUUAUCUUAUAAAAUUAAGAAAUAAUUAUAUAUUUUAUAUAGUUAUUUAUAAUAGUCUUAACAAAUAAUUGUGCCAGCAGUUGCGGUCAUACAAUGAAGGCUAGCAUUAAUCAUAAUGGUUUAAAGUAUCCGUAGAAUUAAUAUAUAGAUAAAAUAUAUUUAGAGUUAAUAAAAUUAAUUAAAGAAUUAUAAUAGUAAGGAUGAAAUAAUUAUAAUAAUUAUAAGACUGGUAUAUGUGAAAAUAUUAAUUAAUAAUUAACUGACAUUGAGGGAUGAAGACUAAAGUAGCAAAACAGAUUCGAUACCUGUGUAGUUUUAGUAGUAAACGAUGAAUACCAUAUUAUUAUAAAAUUAUAAUAAUAUAUAUGAAAAUGUAAGUAUUCCACCUGAAGAGUAUAUUAGCAAUAAUGAAACUCAAGACAAUAGACGGUUACAGACUUAAGUAGUGGAGUAC